Long non-coding RNA from Ictalurus punctatus (channel catfish), 2089 nucleotides. RefSeq lists it as uncharacterized. The transcript has 4 exons. NCBI's taxonomy places the organism in Eukaryota, Metazoa, Chordata, Actinopteri, Siluriformes, Ictaluridae. The record is from RefSeq and is a predicted model, not a curated record.
AUCAGCUGUGGAAGACAGUGAAAACCCGCAUACAUAUGUCAGUAUGAAGUUAAAAUUAUCUCACAUUAUAUUACUUGAUUUAGUUGACUUGGUCUUGACACCCCUUAAACACACAGGGCAAUUCGAGCUCGGGCAAGAUCACCCACUGCCCCGCCAGCUGCUACCCGUAAUGUCUCCACACUGCCCUGGCCUGGUAUAUGCUGGGCCAGACUGCGAGAAGCCUUCCCUGCUGCUGCCUCACCAACUAUACAUAGGUCUGUGCGUUGCCCCCAAAAAAUCCCUUCAGGAAGCCUCGGUUCUGUGCCUCAGGGGUCUCAAUGGGUGUGAAAAGCUCCCCUAGCAUCUCCUGCAGCCAAUCAAUUGGGUCAGUCAGUAAGCUGUCAGUGAGCCAUACAUUUGCAGCUGAACCUGAGGAUCAUGACAUGUCCGUUGGCACAGAAGCAGGCCAGGCACACGCUGUUGGAGACAGCCACCACAUCAGCACGCAGCACGAAUGAUGACUCUGUGAUGUUGUGCACAUAGAGGCAGGCCUGUGAGGGCAUGAAGAAGACCUUGGCUUGGCGUUCAGAGCACACAACAGCCAGGUGGCCGUCGCCACUGGCUUCCUGCGAGGAACAGGAGGAAAAGUUGACCAGCUUUCUUCUGCGGGGCCGAUCAUGGUCCUCGGCACCAUGCGGAUCUUUCCACACCUCAUAUGCACUGUGGAUCAAAGCACCAGUGCAGUCCAGAAAACCAAAAUGCAGGACUGAACCUUUCAGCAUUAAGACUGUGCCUGAGGAAUAACAGAAUAAGAAAAGGAUAGGGAGAGAGGGAAGGGGAGGGAGAGGGGGAGACAGAGACAGACAGAGAGAGAUAUUUGUUACUGGAAACCAGAAAUUUGUUUACAUGGAAGUGUGGACAGCCAAUCAGAUUGUAACUUUCAAAAUCCUGAAGUUUGCAGCCAGAAAAGUGUACAAAAGAUAUGAGUUGCUCUGGGUGGAAUAGCUAAGGCCAAGACUAUAUGAAAAAUGUAUAUCCAUAAUUCUUGGCCCAUAGGAACUAUCCAAAGGGUUUUCCCAAAACAUCUCUCCAUAGGGUUUUCCCAAAAGAUCGAUACAUAGGGUUUUCCCAAAACCUCUCCCCAUAGGGUUUUCCAAAAAGAUCUAUCUAUAGGGGUUUCCCAAAAAUAUCUAUUCGUAGGGUUUUCCCAAAAUAUCUAUCCAUAGGGUGUUCCCAAAAGAUUUAUCCAUAUUGUUUUCCCAAAAUAUCUAUCCAUGGGGUGUUCCCAAAAGAUUUAUCCAUAUUGUUUUCCCAAAAUAUCUAUCCAUAAGGGUUUCCCAAAAGAUCUAUCCACAGGGUUUUGAAGUAAAAGAUUUAUGUAUAUUGUUUUGCUCAACGAUCUAUACACUGCUUAAAAUGAUUAUUAAUUAGUCUAUUACAUGGCUGCAUUUUAAUAGGUCCCUAAAUAAAUGGAAUCAUAGGCUUCCAUAUCAUUGGCAAAUGAAAUUUGUGCUCACUGGUGGGUGCAACGGUGACUGGUUCCUCUAGCCUCUCCUGCUCAUCGGUGGCAAUGGAUAAGGGCAUUAGCAGAACAAGGCCUAGGCUGGUGCCCACCCAUAGGCAUGGUGUAGGCAGUGCAUCUGACUUGCGUCCAUACGACUCCGCAAACUGCAGCGUGGUCACAGCCUCUUUGGUAUCCCGGUCUAUACUGGAUACGCUGGAACUCCGUGAUCGGCUGAAUGAAUUUUCCCGACUCUCUGAAAAAAAGGAGCAGGGAGUGAAGGAGAGAGGGAGAAAGGAAGGAAGACAGGAGAGAGAGAACAAAAUGGGAGGGAACACGGAAAGAAAGAGUGAGAAGAGAAAUGGAAAAGGUACGAGAGAGAGAGAGACAGAGAGAGAGAGAGCGAGAGAAAGAGAGAGAGAGUACACUUUAAAAACUGGGAAAGAAUAGAAGAGCUGUAAAAUAGAAAUAUCAAGUUAAUAUAACCUUUAUAUCUUAAAAUGAACUUUCCAAACUUUCAAAAAACACUUUAAUAAGUCAUCAUUUGUGUCACUGACAAAUACAUGACCACAAACAGGCAAACAGGACAAUACAACAGUGGAAACAAAA